Heterocephalus glaber (naked mole-rat) is the source of this 2539-nucleotide long non-coding RNA. The record is from Ensembl. Lineage: Eukaryota; Metazoa; Chordata; Mammalia; Rodentia; Bathyergidae.
CAGGGCAUGGUGCUGCCAGGGAUCUUGGCAACUGGACAAUUCCCACCACUGGAAGGAACAAAGCAGGAAAGAUGCGUAAACAGAGAGAAUUUGGAUACCAGCUGGAGAGAACACCUCGCUUGUGCUGGUUCACUCAGCACAACACAUGUCCAUCUGAGGUGCCACGCUAGGCUCUAAGGGCAUAAUGACAAUGAGACAUGCCCCUUGCCCUGAAGAGUCCUGCCACAGGGAAAGCACUGUGGGCUUACAGGAGUUGAAAGAUGGCUGUGGGAACAUGCAGGAGCAGCGACCAGCCUCUCGGCGCUCAGGAGCAAGCUCCAGCCUGUGGUUCCUGAAGACGUCCUGCUGAGCACAAGGACAGCAGGCACAGGUCUUCGCUCUCAGACUUUCCCUCUGGUUGCUGCCCCGAGAGUGGGCCAGCCCAGGUCAGGGGAGCUGAUGACCGGCUGCUGCAAGGGAUGCCGAAGGCGCAGAGCGAAAUAGCAGAAUGUGGAGAGAGGGGACAGGAGGAUGAUGAGGGCCAAGCCCUGCAAAGAGGAGGAAGUCACUGGCAUGAAAGCAGUGGGGGCUGCAGAACAUGUAGGCUGGUGGAGGUCAGAGCACAUCUGCUCCUGGGGAGGAGCAGCUCGGGAGAGGCCGGAAGCUGCACUGGAGCUGGGGCGGCAGGCAUGUCGUCCUCGUCAGACAUAUGAGAACACAGAGGUGCAGAGGGGCCGAGCAACUGCUUCAGAGACACACAGCAUGAGUGCAGCCAGCCCCACUCCCCGUAUGGGAGCCCCGGGUGACAGGAAGGACCUCAGCCACCCCUCCAAGGAGCUGGAUCUUCAUCCUGAAGGCACCUGCGGAGCCCUAGGGAUGUGCAGCAGGAGGAAGGAGCCGACCUGCAUUCUUAGAUGCUCACUCUGACAGCUCUCCGUGCAGUGGACAAGCUGAUGCAAGAGACGCAAAGCUCCACAGAGAGUGGGAAGGGAAGUCAGAGGGACCAGGGCCAGGCUGGAGAUGGCCGUACAGGAGAAACAGCCUGCAAAGAAGGGAGGAGGAGCCAGAACGUGCCCAGCCAAGGCAAAGCAGACUUGGGUCUGUGUAUCAGUCAUUUUGGCCAAUGAGGAGUCCGGCAUCAGCUGGACAGCCCCCAGUGAAGGCUGUCCCCCACCCCGUGAAGUGUGACGCGGACAGCCACCCACCACCACUCCCUCUUGCUCUUCCAUGAAGACACAGUCACCCCUCCUGCUUCCCUGACUCCACUCCAUGUGAUCAGUCUCCCAGAGCUCAGUAUACACGCCACUGCCUCUUCCCUGGACCUGCCGAGAGACCCCACAGGAAGCCACUGCCUCAGCCUAGGAGUGGUUCCUCUAGGCUUGUUUUCAAGUUUGGUUGAUAGAUGCCUUCUGGGGUCUUUAAGGCCACUGUGAUUGUCACGCCAGAGAAGCUAGCAUCUCCCCUGCCACAAGAGAGCCACGGUAGCUGGCACUGCGCCCCAGCUCCGCACUGCGCACUCCGAUCAGCAGAGUUGCAGCAGACUCUGAGCGGACUGCCGAAGAAUAAUGUUCCACGCCCUGACUUUGCCUCCCUCAGCCAAACGCAGGGUUUUGGUUGGAGGGAAUUGACACAUUCAUGCAUUUACUUUUUAUAAAAGGAAACAGAGGCUCAGAGUGGUGACUUGUGCUAGUUCACUCUGGGAGCCCAAGGCGGGGCCGGGCUGGAAUUUGGGCUGUAGAUCUGACCAGGGCUCUGAGCGUAAGUGAAGUGUGUUGCAUUGGCUCCUCACUGUCAGUGAAGGGAGAAGAAACUUGGGGAAUGCAGACCUGCCAUGACAUACUCCUAGCAAUCUCACAGGGGCCUGGAAGUCAGGCCUGGAGGUACCUGUGGAGACCAGCCAGUGCAACUUCUCAGCUUACGGAUGAGGAGACCGGAGCCCAAAGGAGACAAGCGACUUGUUCAAGGUCUAACAGCAAACUUUGACGAGCAGGGAGCAGCACACAUAUUACCAGGAGGGCAAGCCAAAACUGCCGUUUUUGUUUGGAUUCCUUCGAGGCAUCCUUGAAUCCACUCAUUGAGUUUUCUUCCAAGUUCAUUCUCAACCAUGAGAUUGCAAGUUUCAGCAUCUAUCAAUAGCCCUUCAUACUGUUCUCCUCCCCGCAAAGCUUUGAUUGCUCCUUAUGUGGGACCGCAUAACUCUGUAAUCAUAAAAGCUCCCCCAGCCCCAACAUAGUGACUGAUUGUGAGUUAAUGGUUAAAAUGUGCUUGUUAGUUCUGGGACACUAGAUAAAAUCUGUAACAAACAUAGAGUUCCUAAGUGAAUUACCCAACUCCUUGUUUGUCCAAAACUGAUGUUCCGGACACAGCUAUCUAUAGAACAAUCUGCAAACAUCUUUUGACCAUCAACAUUUUUUUUCUCUUUUCUGUAAGUUCUGCUUGCUAACUUCCCCUGCAACCCCCUAUAAAAACAGCCUCGGACUCUCAGCCAGUUGCCUCUCUAAGCUACUUUGCUUUGGGAGUGACAUCUGGCCAGACUAAUAAUGGUCUGUUUUACUUUCCC